GGGCGUGUUCGUGUGGACGUUCACGCAGAGCUCGCUCAUGGCGGGCACCCGGGCCAUCUCCGGCAACCUCGGCCUGGUGCGGGCCCUGCACUUCCC
This 96-nucleotide transfer RNA is filed under the name Streptomyces flaveolus. RNAcentral's name for it is "tRNA-Met". Lineage: Bacteria; Bacillati; Actinomycetota; Actinomycetes; Kitasatosporales; Streptomycetaceae. The record is from RNAcentral. RNAcentral also lists the same sequence under 1 other name.